RNAcentral lists this ribosomal RNA (2908 nucleotides) under Escherichia coli. RNAcentral's name for it is "23S ribosomal RNA". It matches the Rfam family "Bacterial large subunit ribosomal RNA". Lineage: Bacteria; Pseudomonadati; Pseudomonadota; Gammaproteobacteria; Enterobacterales; Enterobacteriaceae. The record is from RNAcentral.
GGUUAAGCGACUAAGCGUACACGGUGGAUGCCCUGGCAGUCAGAGGCGAUGAAGGACGUGCUAAUCUGCGAUAAGCGUCGGUAAGGUGAUAUGAACCGUUAUAACCGGCGAUUUCCGAAUGGGGAAACCCAGUGUGAUUCGUCACACUAUCAUUAACUGAAUCCAUAGGUUAAUGAGGCGAACCGGGGGAACUGAAACAUCUAAGUACCCCGAGGAAAAGAAAUCAACCGAGAUUCCCCCAGUAGCGGCGAGCGAACGGGGAGCAGCCCAGAGCCUGAAUCAGUGUGUGUGUUAGUGGAAGCGUCUGGAAAGGCGCGCGAUACAGGGUGACAGCCCCGUACACAAAAAUGCACAUGCUGUGAGCUCGAUGAGUAGGGCGGGACACGUGGUAUCCUGUCUGAAUAUGGGGGGACCAUCCUCCAAGGCUAAAUACUCCUGACUGACCGAUAGUGAACCAGUACCGUGAGGGAAAGGCGAAAAGAACCCCGGCGAGGGGAGUGAAAAAGAACCUGAAACCGUGUACGUACAAGCAGUGGGAGCACAGAGCAAUCUGUGUGACUGCGUACCUUUUGUAUAAUGGGUCAGCGACUUAUAUUCUGUAGCAAGGUUAACCGAAUAGGGGAGCCGAAGGGAAACCGAGUCUUAACUGGGCGUUAAGUUGCAGGGUAUAGACCCGAAACCCGGUGAUCUAGCCAUGGGCAGGUUGAAGGUUGGGUAACACUAACUGGAGGACCGAACCGACUAAUGUUGAAAAAUUAGCGGAUGACUUGUGGCUGGGGGUGAAAGGCCAAUCAAACCGGGAGAUAGCUGGUUCUCCCCGAAAGCUAUUUAGGUAGCGCCUCGUGAAUUCAUCUCCGGGGGUAGAGCACUGUUUCGGCAAGGGGGUCAUCCCGACUUACCAACCCGAUGCAAACUGCGAAUACCGGAGAAUGUUAUCACGGGAGACACACGGCGGGUGCUAACGUCCGUCGUGAAGAGGGAAACAACCCAGACCGCCAGCUAAGGUCCCAAAGUCAUGGUUAAGUGGGAAACGAUGUGGGAAGGCCCAGACAGCCAGGAUGUUGGCUUAGAAGCAGCCAUCAUUUAAAGAAAGCGUAAUAGCUCACUGGUCGAGUCGGCCUGCGCGGAAGAUGUAACGGGGCUAAACCAUGCACCGAAGCUGCGGCAGCGACGCUUAUGCGUUGUUGGGUAGGGGAGCGUUCUGUAAGCCUGUGAAGGUGUGCUGUGAGGCAUGCUGGAGGUAUCAGAAGUGCGAAUGCUGACAUAAGUAACGAUAAAGCGGGUGAAAAGCCCGCUCGCCGGAAGACCAAGGGUUCCUGUCCAACGUUAAUCGGGGCAGGGUGAGUCGACCCCUAAGGCGAGGCCGAAAGGCGUAGUCGAUGGGAAACAGGUUAAUAUUCCUGUACUUGGUGUUACUGCGAAGGGGGGACGGAGAAGGCUAUGUUGGCCGGGCGACGGUUGUCCCGGUUUAAGCGUGUAGGCUGGUUUUCCAGGCAAAUCCGGAAAAUCAAGGCUGAGGCGUGAUGACGAGGCACUACGGUGCUGAAGCAACAAAUGCCCUGCUUCCAGGAAAAGCCUCUAAGCAUCAGGUAACAUCAAAUCGUACCCCAAACCGACACAGGUGGUCAGGUAGAGAAUACCAAGGCGCUUGAGAGAACUCGGGUGAAGGAACUAGGCAAAAUGGUGCCGUAACUUCGGGAGAAGGCACGCUGAUAUAUAGGUGAAGUCCCUCGCGGAUGGAGCUGAAAUCAGUCGAAGAUACCAGCUGGCUGCAACUGUUUAUUAAAAACACAGCACUGUGCAAACACGAAAGUGGACGUAUACGGUGUGACGCCUGCCCGGUGCCGGAAGGUUAAUUGAUGGGGUUAGCGGUAACGCGAAGCUCUUGAUCGAAGCCCCGGUAAACGGCGGCCGUAACUAUAACGGUCCUAAGGUAGCGAAAUUCCUUGUCGGGUAAGUUCCGACCUGCACGAAUGGCGUAAUGAUGGCCAGGCUGUCUCCACCCGAGACUCAGUGAAAUUGAACUCGCUGUGAAGAUGCAGUGUACCCGCGGCAAGACGGAAAGACCCCGUGAACCUUUACUAUAGCUUGACACUGAACAUUGAGCCUUGAUGUGUAGGAUAGGUGGGAGGCUUUGAAGUGUGGACGCCAGUCUGCAUGGAGCCGGCCUUGAAAUACCACCCUUUAAUGUUUGAUGUUCUAACGUUGGCCCCUGAUCGGGGUUGCGGACAGUGUCUGGUGGGUAGUUUGACUGGGGCGGUCUCCUCCUAAAGAGUAACGGAGGAGCACGAAGGUUGGCUAAUCCUGGUCGGACAUCAGGAGGUUAGUGCAAUGGCAUAAGCCAGCUUGACUGCGAGCGUGACGGCGCGAGCAGGUGCGAAAGCAGGUCAUAGUGAUCCGGUGGUUCUGAAUGGAAGGGCCAUCGCUCAACGGAUAAAAGGUACUCCGGGGAUAACAGGCUGAUACCGCCCAAGAGUUCAUAUCGACGGCGGUGUUUGGCACCUCGAUGUCGGCUCAUCACAUCCUGGGGCUGAAGUAGGUCCCAAGGGUAUGGCUGUUCGCCAUUUAAAGUGGUACGCGAGCUGGGUUUAGAACGUCGUGAGACAGUUCGGUCCCUAUCUGCCGUGGGCGCUGGAGAACUGAGGGGGGCUGCUCCUAGUACGAGAGGACCGGAGUGGACGCAUCACUGGUGUUCGGGUUGUCAUGCCAAUGGCACUGCCCGGUAGCUAAAUGCGGAAGAGAUAAGUGCUGAAAGCAUCUAAGCACGAAACUUGCCCCGAGAUGAGUUCUCCCUGACUCCUUGAGAGUCCUGAAGGAACGUUGAAGACGACGACGUUGAUAGGCCGGGUGUGUAAGCGCAGCGAUGCGUUGAGCUAACCGGUACUAAUGAACCGUGAGGCUUAACCUU